This 74-nucleotide transfer RNA is filed under the name Candidatus Kaiserbacteria bacterium. RNAcentral's name for it is "tRNA-Val". It matches the Rfam family "tRNA". Rfam says of the family: Transfer RNA (tRNA) molecules are approximately 80 nucleotides in length. Their secondary structure includes four short double-helical elements and three loops (D, anti-codon, and T loops). Lineage: Bacteria; Candidatus Kaiseribacteriota. The record is from RNAcentral.
GGGUGAUUAGCUCAGUUGGCUAGAGUGCUCCCUUGACGUGGGAGAGGUCACAGGUUCAAGUCCUGUAUCGCCCA